This 242-nucleotide ribosomal RNA is filed under the name uncultured bacterium. Its description in RNAcentral is "partial 16S ribosomal RNA". It matches the Rfam family "Bacterial small subunit ribosomal RNA", at positions 535 to 776 of the family's 1533-position model. The record is from RNAcentral.
CGAGCGUUGUUCGGAAUUACUGGGCGUAAAGAGUGUGUAGGCGGUGCUCUAAGUUCGGUGUGAAAUCUCCCGGCUUAACUGGGAGGGUGCGCCGGAAACUGGAGUGCUCGAGCGUGGGAGAGGAAAGCGGAAUUCCUGGUGUAGCGGUGAAAUGCGUAGAUAUCAGGAGGAACACCUGCGGUGUAGACGGCUUUCUGGACCAUUGCUGACGCUGAGACACGAAAGCGUGGGUAGCAAACAGG